CAGAUACAUCCUCGCGACUAAUGACAGCCUUUUCCCAUUCGCCGGAAAGCGCUGUCAUUAGUCGCGCGAAUCGCUGUAUUUAAAGAGUCGUUGUAAGCGGAUAACAGCGAGAUAUACCGCUUUCAGAAGAAAAGGGGCCAUCUUCGGCCCCUUU
RNAcentral lists this small RNA (154 nucleotides) under Morganella psychrotolerans. Its description in RNAcentral is "SraG RNA". It matches the Rfam family "SraG RNA". From Rfam's summary of the family: This RNA was discovered in E. coli during a large scale screen. Evidence was found for specific cleavage of this RNA. Lineage: Bacteria; Pseudomonadati; Pseudomonadota; Gammaproteobacteria; Enterobacterales; Morganellaceae. The record is from RNAcentral.